UAUUUACUUUCCUUCUCUACCUGUUGGUUAAAUUUCACUUUCUCUUAUUUAUGUGCUCUGUGGAUGUAAACAUCCCAUUUCAUAUACAUAAUAAAUCUUUACAGCAAUAACAUCAAUUUUCCAAAACAGAUAGAUAAGUAUUGCAAAAGAAAAUGAUCAAUAUACUAUAGCUAAGGACAAAGAGAUUUUGCAAUUCUUUAUUUUUGUCUUUUAAAUGAAUUGAUCUUUAAUUUAAGUCAAUAGCAUAAAAACUUAUACCUACAUAACAUAANNNNNNNN
RNAcentral lists this long non-coding RNA (279 nucleotides) under Solanum tuberosum (potato). Its description in RNAcentral is "long non-coding RNA (STUB_LNC001062)". The record is from RNAcentral. Lineage: Eukaryota; Viridiplantae; Streptophyta; Magnoliopsida; Solanales; Solanaceae.